AACGAACGCUGGCGGCAGGCUUAACACAUGCAAGUCGAACGGGUGUAGCAAUACAUCAGUGGCAGACGGGUGAGUAACACGUGGGAACCUUCCUCGUUGUACGGAACAACUCAGGGAAACUUGAGCUAAUACCGUAUACGUCCGAGAGGAGAAAGAUUUAUCGCAAUGAGACGGGCCCGCGUCGGAUUAGCUAGUUGGUGGGGUAACGGCCUACCAAGGCGACGAUCCGUAGCUGAUCUGAGAGGAUGAUCAGCCACACUGGGACUGAGACACGGCCCAGACUCCUACGGGAGGCAGCAGUGGGGAAUCUUGGACAAUGGGCGCAAGCCUGAUCCAGCCAUGCCGCGUGAGUGAAGAAGGCCUUAGGGUUGUAAAGCUCUUUUGCCAGGGACGAUAAUGACGGUACCUGGAGAAUAAGCCCCGGCAAACUUCGUGC
This 436-nucleotide ribosomal RNA is filed under the name uncultured bacterium. Its description in RNAcentral is "bacterial SSU rRNA". It matches the Rfam family "Bacterial small subunit ribosomal RNA", at positions 29 to 508 of the family's 1533-position model. The record is from RNAcentral.